UGUGUACUCCCUCCGUUCCAAAAUACUUGACUUCCAUUUGUCCAAAAAUGGAUGUACCUAUAUACUAAAACAUGUCUAGAUACAUAUAUAUUUUGACAAAUCGAAGGCAUGUAUUGUGCAAUGGAGGGAGUAGAAU
Non-coding RNA from Triticum aestivum (bread wheat), 136 nucleotides. The record is from Rfam. Lineage: Eukaryota; Viridiplantae; Streptophyta; Magnoliopsida; Poales; Poaceae.